AGGCUCGAUAAAAGUAGUACGCAAAACUGCCGCUGAAGGCGUUGUUCAAACUUGUUCAGACACGCAAAUUGGCGCCAAGAGCGUGAUCCGUGGCGCGAUCCGCGUGAUCACUUCUUUUUGUGUUAUUUGUUUUGUUUUAUGUAUCUCAAGUUUUACCCCAGUGCACAUUGUGGACAUGUAUUUGAGUCGAUGUGUUCGAAAAAGUUUUGAAAAAUCUUGUCAUCGUUUCUCGAGAUCAAUACGUCCCUUCUAUAUAGUUCUACGUAUGCGGCCGCAAGGAAAAACGUCCUGGUUUCGCCGACCCCAUACGUCAAUCAAAAUUGUGGUUAGACAUUCGUACGAGUGGAACUAAGCCUCGGACCUUGUCACCGAUGACUCGCGAGCGCGCUGUGGGUCGACAAAUCAUUUGAUGACGCGGCAACUUUAUCAUCAUUUCGCUUCUCUCAUAUCGAGGGAGUCCCGAUCAACUGAUCGAUCUUUCGACGACUCUCUAAUCGUGUCGUAAACCAUCACGUUUGCCCAUCGCAUCUUACUUGCGCGAGGACUCGGGGGAACUAACAAAAACCUUCACCAAUCGGCUUCAUUCUUACUAGAUUCAAGUGUGUUGGAACUAUUGGAAAUCCAGAAAUCCAGAAAAACUCCCUCCUGGUUAAGUAUCGGUGUACAAGCAGUCGCUUACGCUGACGAUCAUCCAUCUUGGCCCUGGUUUCGUCAGGAGCUACGAUACUUGAGAGAUCUCUCAGAAACUCGACGCUUAGUUAUCGCUGUCGAUCCCUCAUGGCGUUCAGCAGACUUCGAAAACGUUGGAGUCCUUCAAUUUGCCUUGAAAAGCCGUGAUUUUGCUGCAUCACAGAGCCCUUCGUUCCACCUCGUACACACAUUCGUUGCUUCUUUUUUCGAGGCUGGAAAGACGCGUGUUGUUCUCUCUGCACGGUAGCCGGCGUAGCAUGCGCCCGAUUUCCCAUCGUUCUCCGUUUCUUCGCGCCUCAACUAUCUCCAGCAAAAUGCCAACCUGACAAACCUUCAAAGGGAAGAGGAAGAAGGAACAGGAGCGAGAUAGAAGAAGAAAAGGAAGCAGGGAGAAGACGACAGAGUGAGAAAAGGAUGAGAGAAAGUUAGACAAAAAUUCGACAUCUGUCGCGUGAACGAGCCAUCGAUACUUCGACAUACUUUUGUCUCCCUUUCCCGCAGCCGUAAGAUCCGGAACAUCCUUGAGAGUUGGCAAAGACAACGGAUUCGCGAAGGGACAAACCCUCGAGAGAUACAAGCAGCACGAGAGUUCGCUGGGAUGGAUUCGAGAUGACGGACCAUUCGCUUCAGCCGUACCCCCAGCCGUAGCUUGUCUCUCAAAGUAUCUCGAAAUAUGAGAGAAUUUUUGGAAUCCCCCGGAGUCAUUCGGAUAAUUCUUUCACGCUCACGUGAAAGAUGACGGAAACGUAUUUGGAAUAAGAGGGGAAAAUCGAAUGUAUUUCUCGUCGCAUAUGACGGUGCAGCGUCGAAGUACGACGAAAACGAGAGAAAGGGGAGAGAGAAUUUCGCGGAAGUCUCUUUGACCUCGCAUCCACCGCCUCCACCGCGCCACCUGUUUAAUUUCACGUUCAAUUAUCACUGAAUUGGGAGCUCUUAAUUCAACGCGAAAUAGACUAUGGAUGCUUCGUAUAUGUAGUCAAACGGAAGCGGAGGGACGGAGGGGAAGGAAGAUUUAUAAGAGGAAUAAGACGAAGAUGGAGGAUGACAAGGUAGGAUUCCUGAAAGGCAAAUAUCUCGCGACGCCCGCGGCUCUUGGAGAUUCUGAUGUACGAGGAAGAAGACGAGUGAGAAGGGGAAAUGACGAGCAAGAGAGAGGGAGAAAGAUGGGGAACAAGAUGAGGAGAAGACGUGAGAGAAUCGCUUCGGUUUGUUGGCGAGGUUGCUGAUGGUCUCGGUCGACUAUACCAGAAGAGUGUGAGAGAGCUAGCGAGAGGGGGAUGCAAGAUUGAAGGAAUGAUUCGCCUGAUUUAUGAAUAAUGUAGAUGUACAAAAGCUCGAUACAACGGAGAAAGUUGUCGAAUUUAUGGGUCAACGACAAGUUUCUACUCUCAUUGUUUCGUCGAUUUUCUGGCUGGUUUAUUCGACACCGAAAAAGGUUUUCGAGGGCCCUUCCAUGGGGGUACCUGAGUGUGCGUUUUCGGAGUUUGAAUUUCUUUUGCGCGAGAGAUACUUUUUCAAGGACUCGUCGUAUUAUUCGGUAUCAUCAUGAAGAUAUCGAUUUAUGAGUGAUGUCGAAGGCUCUCCAUUGUCCGUGAAAAGAGGAGGGCGAAGGAUAAAAAGCUCACUUGGUUCACUACUUGGAGAGGACGUCUGAAAGACCUUCGUGAAAAAUUUAAUCAACGGUGCAUCGAAGAAGAAAGUUCCUUGAAGCUUUCAUCCUGACGGUUCCUCAGCUCGAUGAUAAUUUCUUAAACACCCUGUAUGCACAGGAAAGAAUAAUCUUCACAGGAAUUCGACUGAUUAUUUUGGUGACCGAGUGUGAGUUUCGUAGAAAAAAAAUACGAAUGAGCGAGCGGGAACGAGGCAGAGGGGAGGAAGGAAAGAGAUGAAGCGAGGAAAAACGAAUGACGCGAAAAGCAUGCAGCCCUUAUUACUUCCGGGGGUGGAAACAGAGUAGAUGAGGGAAUCCAUCGUUCGACUCGUUUAAGUAUACAGGAGAGAUCCGCCAUCUCCAGGUCUCACUUCGACGCCUCGGCUUACCGAAGGAGGAGGAGGAGGAGGAGUGGAGGAAAAAACUGGUGGAAAAGAUGGGAACGCAUUAACUGACGGAUUAACGUCGUUGGAUGGAGCGCCAGCGGCCACCAUCUAAAAUGAAUUAUUUAUGGGUGUACCGAACUUUUGGAGCUCGUUCCAAGAGAGCGAUGUCGUUAAAGUUACGGGACUCCCCGUUGCCCAUUGGUCACAUUAGAAUUUCUACCGGCGUACGUGAAGCGGUGGGAAGGAAGAAAAUUAAUUUACACGUUUUCCGUCUCGUCAUAUUCUAUUAUUCAAAUAGUUUCUCUGUGAGAAAGUCGUGUCCUCCGGACUCGUUUCUUUUUCCAACAUCGUGGCAACUCGAACCACACGUGAAAGUUUAUCUAAUUUUUUUUUCAUAUUUUUUCUCUUUGUUAUCGGUUAACCAAAGCGUAUAGAGACUGAUGACACACAGUGUUUCCGUGUCACGAAAAAAAUCGAGGUAUCGAGUAACCCAUUGAGACGCGAACAGGACGUAAAAAAGGGGAGAGAGGGAAAAAAACAAUUAGAGGAUCGUUGAAAAACACAAGGCUGUCAGAUAUUCAAUAUACUUGUGCGUACACAAUAUGGCCAGGAUAACGGAGUAAAAAGUGAGGAUAGCUGAAAAAGUAUUUUCCAUGCACAGAUAGUUGAAUGCAGAGAACGUUUAAAUAA
This is a long non-coding RNA of Venturia canescens, 3417 nucleotides long. RefSeq lists it as uncharacterized. Lineage: Eukaryota; Metazoa; Arthropoda; Insecta; Hymenoptera; Ichneumonidae. The record is from RefSeq and is a predicted model, not a curated record. The transcript is spliced from 11 exons.